Molecule: non-coding RNA, 28 nt
Filed under: Mus musculus (house mouse)
Lineage: Eukaryota; Metazoa; Chordata; Mammalia; Rodentia; Muridae
Source: RNAcentral
UAGAACAGCUGACACAGGUCCCUUCCAU